RNAcentral lists this ribosomal RNA (253 nucleotides) under uncultured bacterium. RNAcentral's name for it is "partial 16S ribosomal RNA". It matches the Rfam family "Bacterial small subunit ribosomal RNA", at positions 524 to 776 of the family's 1533-position model. The record is from RNAcentral.
UACGUAGGGUGCGAGCGUUGUCCGGAAUUAUUGGGCGUAAAGAGCUCGUAGGCGGUUUGUCGCGUCGACUGUGAAAACCUGGGGCUUAACUCUGGGCCUGCAGUCGAUACGGGCAGACUUGAGUUCGGUAGGGGAGACUGGAAUUCCUGGUGUAGCGGUGAAAUGCGUAGAUAUCCGGAGGAACACCGGUGGCGAAGGCGGCUUCCUGGACCGACACUGACGCUGAGGCGCGAAAGCUAGGGGAGCAAACGGG